GCCCCCGUAUCCCAACCGGCAGAGGAAGUCGCCUUAAAAGCGAUUCAGUGUGGGUUCGACCCCCACCGGGGGCACCA
RNAcentral lists this transfer RNA (77 nucleotides) under Nocardioides sp. Its description in RNAcentral is "tRNA-Leu". It matches the Rfam family "tRNA". From Rfam's summary of the family: Transfer RNA (tRNA) molecules are approximately 80 nucleotides in length. The record is from RNAcentral. Lineage: Bacteria; Bacillati; Actinomycetota; Actinomycetes; Propionibacteriales; Nocardioidaceae.